CUCAUUUCAUGGGAACGACCUGAGAUUGCAAUCACGGCUUCAAUUUUUGAAUUGCAGAAUAAUUAGAUGGACUAUCUAGUGUAUAAAAGAUAUCUAUGGACAUGAUUGACAUUAAGUUAUAUAAGUAUAAGUAGGAGGUCUGUGUUCAUUCAGAAAAAUUUGCCAAACUUUGUUAAUGUUCUGAAUAUAAUGGAGAAAAUACGAAGAAGAAAAACAUUAAUGUUUUGGACCAAUUUAUAUUUAUUGUAGAAAUAAUUUGGAUUUACUCCAUGUGAGAUUAUAGGGUUUAGUUGAUCUGCUAGUUCGUCUGAAGAGAGAACUAUCAAAGUGUUGAAAAUGCAUUGAAACUCGACCAAGGUCUACUAUUAUAGUGUUAAAAAAUCAAUUUUUUUUAUAUAUUUAUAUAUUAUAUUAUACUGUAUGCAAUGUAUAUACCAUCGAGCAUUAAAUAGAAUCAAAUACACUGUUUUAUAUAUU
This 477-nucleotide long non-coding RNA is filed under the name Paramuricea clavata. Lineage: Eukaryota; Metazoa; Cnidaria; Anthozoa; Malacalcyonacea; Plexauridae. The record is from RNAcentral.